RNAcentral lists this ribosomal RNA (497 nucleotides) under uncultured bacterium. Its description in RNAcentral is "partial 16S ribosomal RNA". It matches the Rfam family "Bacterial small subunit ribosomal RNA", at positions 28 to 507 of the family's 1533-position model. The record is from RNAcentral.
GAUGAACGCUGGCGGCGUGCCUAAUACAUGCAAGUCGAGCGAACAGACGAGGAGCUUGCUCCUCUGACGUUAGCGGCGGACGGGUGAGUAACACGUGGAUAACCUACCUAUAAGACUGGGAUAACUUCGGGAAACCGGAGCUAAUACCGGAUAACAUGUUGAACCGCAUGGUUCAACAGUGAAAGACGGUCUUGCUGUCACUUAUAGAUGGAUCCGCGCCGCAUUAGCUAGUUGGUAAGGUAACGGCUUACCAAGGCAACGAUGCGUAGCCGACCUGAGAGGGGGAUCGGCCACACUGGAGCUGAGACACGGUCCAGACUCCUACGGGAGGCAGCAGUAGGGAAUCUGCCGCAAUGGGCGAAAGCCUGACGGAGCAACGCCGCGUGAGUGAAGAAGGUCUUCGGAUCGUAAAACUCUGUUAUUAGGGAAGAACAAAUGUGUAAGUAACUAUGCACGUCUUGACGGUACCUAAUCAGAAAGCCACGGCUAACUACGUG